UCACAGUUCUGGAGGCCUGGAAGUCCAAGGUCCAGGUGUUGGCAGAGUCGACAUCUAGGGAGGGCUGCCCCCUGCUUCCAAGAUGGCGUCUUGCCGCUUCCAAGAUGGCGUCUUGCCGCCGUGUUUGUGUCCUCAGAGGGCCAGAGUAGAAGAAACCAGGUAGCUCUCUGGAGCCUCUUUCAUAAGGGCAUUAAUCCCACUCCCGAGGGAGAAGCCUUCAUGACUUAAUAAUGCUCCCAGAGGCCCCAUCUCAUAAUACCAUCUCAGUGAGGUUUAAGUUUUAACCUCUGAACUUUGGAGGGAUCCCAGCAUUCAAACCAUAGCAGGCGCCUCUGGGAUUACUGUGGACCGAGUUCUUCUCAGGUGUGCCUGAGGCGGCUGUGUCUCCUACUCUGCGAACCAUCUGGUUGUGCUGUCUAAGGAGGCCCCUGAGAAGGCCCACCUUCACCGCUUGUGUUUUCAUUUUCUCCUCUACACCAGGAGAAGUCUGCUGAGCCAUGGUCUGGAAGAUGUCAACCACAGAGGACUCCUGGGCUGUUCUAGGGAGUUGGGCUGUUGUCCUGAGGGCAAUGGAGAGCCACUGACCCAUUUGACGGAAGAGAAUGACCAGAGCAGAUUUGCACCUGUGGAAGAUCUCCCUGGCACAGUGGGGAGCACGGGCUAGAGGGGACAAGGCCAGGGGAUAAACCAGGAGUUGGCAUGAAGAUGAAGAGACAGACUGAGCUUGGCUAAGUGUUUUGCUGUAAGUCACACAGUUUGGAAGAUUUGGAAUUCUGGACAACUGGACUUGAAACCACCAUGAUGCCUCACUGCAUCCCCGACUUGGGAAAUCCGAGUCAUCAUUUGUAAUGAUCUUCUGCAUCAUUCAGAUGUCAUUCAGUACUCACUAAUGUGCUUUCUACACGGCUUUUCCGAAAUAGCUGGCAUCUGCAGCACUCUGGGCCGGAGACUUCCCGGGGGUGAAGAUGGUGUAGGCGCAUCCAGUGUGGACAGGAGGUGCCAGUUUAAAGGAUGACUGUUCAUGGCCACCUCACAAUCUGUGCACCCCCCUGGUGCCCAAGUAGCAGGGACAGGGCUGUGAACUUCCUGCAGGGACCAAACCCCACUAUUGGCAGCUGCUGGUCUUUGUGAUUGCUCCUAUGUCAGGCUUGGGGGACAGAAGACAUUUUUCUUUUGCUGAAACCUGAAGGGGAACAAAUCGUGUAAAACUUGGCAUCUAAAUCUUCCCUUUCCCUCUAAGGAAAACCUCUGCAAUCAUUCUGCAAAGUAUUCUCUCUCCUUUUGUCCUGUUUAAGAUUCGGGUGUUGACAACUUCCCUUUGGGAGACCAUAUUAGGGUCUCAGAUUUCACCAUCAAGGAAACCUCUAAGUAUUUUUGCAGAAAGCUCCUGAUUAGAUUGAUCUCGGCACCGCAGCCUUCCCCCAAUCCUGGGCUAAGCCACAGAGAGACUCUGCUUGCUGGGCAGCUGUUUGUGGGUAUCUUGCGGCGGUGUUUCUGCUUUCUUGCUCAACCACCCAGAUUUAGCUAUUAAAGUUCCCCUCAUAAAUCAGCCACGCCGCGUAUCUUCAUCAUCUCCUUCCAGUUUGUCUAUAAGCUCUCUGCCCUCCAAGAAAUAAAUUACCCGCAAUUACUCAAA
Molecule: long non-coding RNA, 1636 nt
Organism: Homo sapiens (human)
Lineage: Eukaryota; Metazoa; Chordata; Mammalia; Primates; Hominidae
Exons: 3
Source: RefSeq, a predicted model, not a curated record